RNAcentral lists this long non-coding RNA (241 nucleotides) under Physcomitrium patens. RNAcentral's name for it is "long non-coding RNA (PPAT_LNC000144)". Lineage: Eukaryota; Viridiplantae; Streptophyta; Bryopsida; Funariales; Funariaceae. The record is from RNAcentral.
UUGGUCAACAAGUUAGCCAUGUGCCACACAUGUUGGAAGCUUAAAGAACAAGCUAACUACGUGGUCCAUCCAUAGAAAACUUGCUUUGCAAGCAAAGGCAUGUGGCCUAGAAAGUCAACAUAUAUUGGAGGUCUUAUAGAACAUCGCCACGUGGCUUCUAGUUAGAUAGUAUAUAUAGAGGCAAGAGUGAAGCCCUCUUCACUCUUGUCAACUCCUUUCUUGCUUCUAGUCUAGUUUCAAG